RNAcentral lists this unclassified non-coding RNA (345 nucleotides) under Hevea brasiliensis (rubber tree). Lineage: Eukaryota; Viridiplantae; Streptophyta; Magnoliopsida; Malpighiales; Euphorbiaceae. The record is from RNAcentral.
UGGUGGUGGUGGAAGCAGCAGAGGCCGAAGGCAAAGAAGGGGAGAAGAUGUUAUCCAUCCCCUCAAGGUCUCCUUGGAAGAUCUCUACAAUGGUACUUCGAAGAAGCUCUCUCUUUCACGCAACGUAAUCUGCUCAAAGUGCAAGGGUAAGGGUUCUAAAUCUGGUGCUUCAAUGAAAUGCCCGGGCUGUCAAGGAUCUGGUAUGAAAGUUUCCAUCAGACACCUUGGCCCCUCUAUGAUACAACAAAUGCAGCAUCCUUGCAAUGAAUGCAAAGGAACUGGUGAAACCAUCAAUGAUAAAGAUCGUUGCUCACAGUGCAAGGGUGAAAAGGUUGUUCAGGAGAA